GAUAGGCUUUUAUCGUUCCUCUACCGGCGACCUUCCUAAAGACACACCGUGCCGUGAAAUAAUAGCACGGUUCAAAAUAGACGGAAAUCAGAGGUCAGAUUCGAGAAGCAGGAAAAGAAGAGGAAUAGAGAGCGAAAGAGCGAUGUUGCUAAUCGCAAGAGGCGAGUGACGUCUCCGUGGAAUUCCAGGGAAUCGGAGGAAAGCGCGGUGACGUACGAACUGGUGCGAAAGAGGAAGGAUCGGAGAAAGAACGAGGGAAGAAAGGGCGAGGAGGAGGAGGACGACGACGAGGAGGAGGAGGAGGAGGAGGAGGAGGAAGAAGAAGAAGAAGAAGAAGAAGAAGAAGGAGAAGCAAAAGUUGAAGCAAAAGAGGUAUUACGAAAAAAGGCGAGGACAAGAAAGAAGGAAUACAAGGAGAGACAGAAAGAGAUAGGGGAGUAAAUGCAGUGAAAGAAGGAAAGGAAGGUGAGGAAGGCGGUGAAAAGAAAGAGCACAGGUAGACAGGUAGAACGUAAGAGGGAGAUAGGAGCGAAGUAAGAGAAGGAAUAAGAGGCGGUAUAAGGGAAGAGGAGGAGGGGAGUAGCGCGAAAGAAGAGAGGGAGAAGAAGAGGCGCGUGGUGGUCGUGAUGGUGAGGUAGUGGACGAGAGCGAGCGAGCAUCCAGAUCUGUCGCGUGCUGCGUCGCUCUGGGAUGGGACGGAAUCGGGACGACACGGUACGAAGCAGAACGGGACGAAACGGGACGACGGCUACUACUACAACUACGAGGACGGG
RNAcentral lists this unclassified non-coding RNA (773 nucleotides) under Bombus terrestris (buff-tailed bumblebee). Its description in RNAcentral is "misc RNA ENSBTSG00005027469.1". Lineage: Eukaryota; Metazoa; Arthropoda; Insecta; Hymenoptera; Apidae. The record is from RNAcentral.